AUACCAGCGGCCCUAGUGGUGAUCGUUAUUAUUGGGCCUAAAGCGUCCGUAGCCGGUCCGGUAAAUCUCUGGGUAAAUCGUUGGGCUUAACUCAGCGAAUUCUGGGGAGACUGCUGGACUUGGGACCGGGAGAGGUCGGAGGUACUCCAGGGGUAGGGGUGAAAUCCUGUAAUCCUUGGGGGACCACCGGUGGCGAAGGCGUCCGACCAGAACGGGUCCGACGGUAAGGGACGAAGCCCUGGGGCGCGAACCGGAUUAGAAACCCCAGUAGUCC
This 274-nucleotide ribosomal RNA is filed under the name uncultured bacterium. Its description in RNAcentral is "partial 16S ribosomal RNA". It matches the Rfam family "Archaeal small subunit ribosomal RNA", at positions 473 to 747 of the family's 1478-position model. The record is from RNAcentral.